This 252-nucleotide ribosomal RNA is filed under the name uncultured bacterium. RNAcentral's name for it is "partial 16S ribosomal RNA". It matches the Rfam family "Bacterial small subunit ribosomal RNA", at positions 524 to 776 of the family's 1533-position model. The record is from RNAcentral.
UACGUAGGGUGCAAGCGUUAAUCGGAAUUACUGGGCGUAAAGCGUGCGCAGGCGGUGAUGUAAGACAGAUGUGAAAGCCCCGGGCUUAACCUGGGAAUGGCAUUUGAGACUGCAUAGCUAGGGUGCGGAAGAGGGAAGCGGAAUUUCCGGUGUAGCGGUGAAAUGCGUAGAUAUCGGAAGGAACACCAGUGGCGAAAGCGGCUUCCUGGUCCAGCACCGACGUCAGGCACGAAAGCGUGGGGAGCAAACAGG